GAUGAACGCUGGCGGCGUGCCUAAUACAUGCAAGUCGAGCGAACAGACGAGGAGCUUGCUCCUCUGACGUUAGCGGCGGACGGGUGAGUAACACGUGGAUAACCUACCUAUAAGACUGGGAUAACUUCGGGAAACCGGAGCUAAUACCGUAUAAUAUAUUGAACCGCAUGGUUCAAUAGUGAAAGACGGUUUUGCUGUCACUUAUAGAUGGAUCCGCGCCGCAUUAGCUAGUUGGUAAGGUAACGGCUUACCAAGGCAACGAUGCGUAGCCGACCUGAGAGGGUGAUAGGCCACCCUGGAACUGAGACACGGUCCAGACUCCUACGGGAGGCAGCAGUAGGGAAUCUUACGCAAUGGGCGAAAGCCUGACGGAGCAACGCCGCGUGAGUGAUGAAGGUCUUCGGAUCGUAAAACUCUGUUAUUAGGGAAGAACAAAUGUGUAAGUAACUAUGCACGUCUUGACGGUACCUAAUCAGAAAGCCACGGCUAACUACGUG
RNAcentral lists this ribosomal RNA (497 nucleotides) under uncultured bacterium. RNAcentral's name for it is "partial 16S ribosomal RNA". It matches the Rfam family "Bacterial small subunit ribosomal RNA", at positions 28 to 507 of the family's 1533-position model. The record is from RNAcentral.